Molecule: ribosomal RNA, 492 nt
Filed under: uncultured bacterium
Lineage: Bacteria
Description: partial 16S ribosomal RNA
Rfam family: Bacterial small subunit ribosomal RNA
Source: RNAcentral
AGUGAACGCUGGCGGUAGGCCUAACACAUGCAAGUCGAACGGCAGCACAGUAAGAGCUUGCUCUUACGGGUGGCGAGUGGCGGACGGGUGAGGAAUACAUCGGAAUCUACUUUUUCGUGGGGGAUAACGUAGGGAAACUUACGCUAAUACCGCAUACGACCUACGGGUGAAAGCAGGGGAUCUUCGGACCUUGCGCGAUUGAAUGAGCCGAUGUCGGAUUAGCUAGUUGGCGGGGUAAAGGCCCACCAAGGCGACGAUCCGUAGCUGGUCUGAGAGGAUGAUCAGACACACUGGAACUGAGACACGGUCCAGACUCCUACGGGAGGCAGCAGUGGGGAAUAUUGGACAAUGGGCGCAAGCCUGAUCCAGCCAUACCGCGUGGGUGAAGAAGGCCUUCGGGUUGUAAAGCCCUUUUGUUGGGAAAGAGAAGCAGCAGGUUAAUACCCCGCUGUUCUGACGGUACCCAAAGAAUAAGCACCGGCUAACUUCGUG